GCCUGGUGUAGCAGUGCACACCUAUAGUCCUAGCUACUUGGGAGGCUGAGAUGGGAGGAUCACUUGAGCCCAGGAGUCCUGGGCUAUAGUGUUGUUCUAUGCUGAUGGGGUAUCCGCACUAAGUUCAGUAUCAAUAGGGUGACCUCAUGGGAGCAGGAAACGAAUAAUUGGUUGCCUAAGGAGAAGUGAACUAGCCCAGGUAAAAACAAAGAAGGUAAAAACUCCAGAGCUGGUCAGUAGUAGAAUCAUGCCUGUGAAUAGUCACUGUAUUCCAGUCUGCUCAACAUAGCAAGACCCUGUAUCU
Molecule: signal recognition particle RNA, 304 nt
Filed under: Carlito syrichta (Philippine tarsier)
Lineage: Eukaryota; Metazoa; Chordata; Mammalia; Primates; Tarsiidae
Description: Metazoan signal recognition particle RNA (ENSTSYG00000032014.1)
Rfam family: Metazoan signal recognition particle RNA
About the family: The signal recognition particle (SRP) is a universally conserved ribonucleoprotein. It is involved in the co-translational targeting of proteins to membranes.
Source: RNAcentral